UGUAGGAGCUGGCUUGCCUGCGAUAGCGGUGUAUCAGUGACAGAUGGGCCAACUGACCCACCGCUAUCGCAGGCAAGCCAGCUCCCACA
RNAcentral lists this unclassified non-coding RNA (89 nucleotides) under Pseudomonas gessardii. Lineage: Bacteria; Pseudomonadati; Pseudomonadota; Gammaproteobacteria; Pseudomonadales; Pseudomonadaceae. The record is from RNAcentral.